AGACUUAUCUAGAAAUUUUCUUCUUCUUCUUUCUAUAUAUGCCGUGAACCAUGGAAGAAGAAAAGGUAAGGUUAAGGGUUUUACAGCCAAUUUGUAAGCAACCGACCUAAUGCGCUGAAGGAUCUUGUAGGGACUGAAAUAUCGGGUAGAAAGUUUUAAAUUCUUGCGAAGAGCCCCCGACUUUUGACGAUGGGGCUGAAACUUUAGAUAUAUAAUGGAAGGCGAUCUACUUCGCUUGGAUGGAAAUCA
Hibiscus syriacus is the source of this 249-nucleotide long non-coding RNA. RefSeq lists it as uncharacterized. The record is from RefSeq and is a predicted model, not a curated record. The transcript is spliced from 3 exons. Lineage: Eukaryota; Viridiplantae; Streptophyta; Magnoliopsida; Malvales; Malvaceae.